This is an RNA transcript of Neltuma alba, 1110 nucleotides long. It is a transcript of the gene named transcription factor JUNGBRUNNEN 1, with no coding region annotated. The record is from RefSeq and is a predicted model, not a curated record. Lineage: Eukaryota; Viridiplantae; Streptophyta; Magnoliopsida; Fabales; Fabaceae. The transcript has 4 exons.
AGAGCUAGGGAUUAAUUAACAGAGAUGAGGAACACAGACAUGGAGGUGGGUAAGCUUGAAAUUAGGUCAUCAGAUAAGAGAGAAGAAGAGGAAGAAGAAGAAGUGAUGGCUCCUGGGUUUAGAUUCCACCCCACAGAUGAAGAACUUGUAGGGUUUUAUCUGCAGAGAAAAGUGAAGAAGAAGCCUCUUCCAAUGGAACUCAUCAAACAGAUUGACAUCUACAGAUACCAUCCUUGGGAUCUUCCAAAGAAUAGCCAUGGGGUGGAAGGGGAAAGAGAAGGAUACUUUUUCUGCAGGAGAGGGAGAAAGUACAGGAACAGCAAGAGGCCUAACAGAGUGACAGUGAGUGGAUCUGGUUUCUGGAAAGCUACAGGAAUUGAUAAAACUAUUUAUGGAGGAGGCGGAGGUCAAAACGGCGUCGUAAUUGGGCUGAAGAAGUCAUUGGUGUAUUAUCAAGGAAGUGCUGGAAAAGCCUCAAAAACUGAGUGGAUGAUGCAUGAGUUUCGUCUUCCUCCCAACAACUCUACUGUCGAUCAUCAUCUUCUUCAUGAUGCUGAAGUUUGGACACUGUGCAAAAUAUUCAAACGAACCCCGUCUCAGAAGAAGUACACGCAAGCAGCAAUCAAACCCAGCCUAGCUCCUUCAACUCCUGAAUCAGGAAACUUAAGACCCGACGUCAAUGGCAACUCAUGCUUCACUUUCAAAAACUCAAUGAUCAUUCAGCAAAAUGAUGAAAGGAAGCAGAUUAGGAAGAGCAUUGAAGAGGUUGAAUAUGAAAGAAAUCACUUGUUUCUGGAUCAGUUAGCUCAAGCUUCACCAUCAAUAGUAUCUUACCCUAGCUUUUGGGAUACUGGUAUAAUGGAAGAGAAUAUAUUUGCUAAUGCAAACUGGUAUGAGCCCCAACAUAUGGUUCAAUUAGCUAUGGAUGAUCCAUCCAAAAUUUAUUAUGACUGUACGUAGUUAUACUCAAUUAGUAUGAUGGUUGGGGGCAUUUUGAUGCUCCAAUACCCAACUUUUCUUUGGGUUAAAGGGGGAGACUUUGACAUAUUAUUGUACUGUAUGAACAGAUUACAGGUUUUGACAUUAUUUUCAUUAUUUCAUUUGUUUCUU